RNAcentral lists this ribosomal RNA (253 nucleotides) under uncultured bacterium. RNAcentral's name for it is "partial 16S ribosomal RNA". It matches the Rfam family "Bacterial small subunit ribosomal RNA", at positions 524 to 776 of the family's 1533-position model. The record is from RNAcentral.
UACGAAGGGGGCUAGCGUUGCUCGGAAUUACUGGGCGUAAAGGGCGCGUAGGCGGAUAUUUAAGUUGGGGGUGAAAUCCCGGGGCUCAACCUCGGAAUUGCCUUCAAAACUGGAUAUCUUGAGUUCGGGAGAGGUGAGUGGAACUCCGAGUGUAGAGGUGAAAUUCGUAGAUAUUCGGAAGAACACCAGUGGCGAAGGCGGCGCUCUGGACCGAGACUGACGCUGAGGCGCGAAAGCGUGGGGAGCAAACAGG